CCUACGGGAGGCUGCAGUGGGGAAUAUUGCACAAUGGGGGAAACCCUGAUGCAGCAACGCCGCGUGAGUGAAGAAGUAUCUCGGGAUGUAAAGCUCUAUCAGCAGGGAAGAAGAUGAAGGUACCUGAUUAAGAAGCCCCGGCUAACUACGUGCCAGCAGCCGCGGUAAUACGGAGGGGGCCAGCGUUAUCCGGAUUUACUGGGUGUAAAGGGAGCGUAGACGGCAGUGCAAGUCUGGAGUGAAAGCACGGGGCCCAACCCCGGAACUGCUGUGGAAACUGUGCGGCUAGAGUACUGGAGGGGCAGGCGGAAUUCCUGGUGUAGCGGUGAAAUGCGUAGAUAUUAGGAAGAACACCGGUGGCGAAGGCAGCCUACUGGACAGUAACUGACGUUGAGGCUCGAAAGCGUGGGGAGCAAACAGGAUUAGAUACCCUUGUAGUC
RNAcentral lists this ribosomal RNA (440 nucleotides) under uncultured bacterium. RNAcentral describes it as "partial 16S ribosomal RNA". It matches the Rfam family "Bacterial small subunit ribosomal RNA", at positions 338 to 795 of the family's 1533-position model. The record is from RNAcentral.